GCGGGUGUAGUUCAAUGGUAGAACGCCAGCUUCCCAAGCUUGAUACGAGGGUUCGAUUCCCUUCACCCGCUCCA
RNAcentral lists this transfer RNA (74 nucleotides) under Comamonas sp. RNAcentral's name for it is "tRNA-Gly". It matches the Rfam family "tRNA". From Rfam's summary of the family: Transfer RNA (tRNA) molecules are approximately 80 nucleotides in length. Their secondary structure includes four short double-helical elements and three loops (D, anti-codon, and T loops). RNAcentral also lists the same sequence under 17 other names. Lineage: Bacteria; Pseudomonadati; Pseudomonadota; Betaproteobacteria; Burkholderiales; Comamonadaceae. The record is from RNAcentral.